Molecule: ribosomal RNA, 266 nt
Filed under: uncultured bacterium
Lineage: Bacteria
Description: partial 16S ribosomal RNA
Rfam family: Bacterial small subunit ribosomal RNA
Source: RNAcentral
GUCCACGCCCUAAACGAUGUCUACUAGUUGUUGGGAGAGUAAAAUCUCUUAGUAACGCAGCUAACGCGUGAAGUAGACCGCCUGGGGAGUACGGUCGCAAGAUUAAAACUCAAAGGAAUUGACGGGGGCCCGCACAAGCGGUGGAUUAUGUGGAUUAAUUCGAUGCAACGCGAAAAACCUUACCUGGCCUUGACAUGUACCGAAUUUAGCAGAGAUGCUUUAGUGCUCGAAAGAGAACGGUAACACAGGUGCUGCAUGGCUGUCGU